GUUGUUCUUUUGCUAAUAUUCGAAGUGAGCCACGUAUGUUUGGGUUGUUCACAAUGUAAUUUAAUUAUUUUUGAAAAUAAUAUGUUACUUUUUGAUAUACGUUCUUGUUUGGAUGUUGUAGUCGUGUAUUUGGUGUCUUUUCUGGUAAAUAUAUGCAACUGUCAGCAUAAACAGGUUUGUAUGGGAUAUAUAGUACCGAUGGCCACCGAUCGAUAUGCGGCAUGCCGAUAUGGCCAUAAGCCCAUAACUAAACAUUUUAUAUAUAAAUCAG
Non-coding RNA from Paramuricea clavata, 271 nucleotides. Lineage: Eukaryota; Metazoa; Cnidaria; Anthozoa; Malacalcyonacea; Plexauridae. The record is from the annotation of a GenBank genome assembly.